This 494-nucleotide ribosomal RNA is filed under the name uncultured bacterium. Its description in RNAcentral is "partial 16S ribosomal RNA". It matches the Rfam family "Bacterial small subunit ribosomal RNA", at positions 28 to 507 of the family's 1533-position model. The record is from RNAcentral.
GACGAACGCUGGCGGCGUGCUUAACACAUGCAAGUCGAACGGAAAGGCCUGCUUUCCCUUGUGGAUUGCGGGUACUCGAGUGGCGAACGGGUGAGUAACACGUGAGUGAUCUGCCCCCAACUUGGGUAUAAGCCUGGGAAACUGGGUCUAAUUCCCGAUAGGACUGCAGGGUGGUGCCUGUGGUGGAAAACGAUUUUCUAGUGGUUGGGGAUGAGCUCGCGGCCUAUCAGCUUGUUGGUGGGGUAAUGGCCUACCAAGGCGGCGACGGGUAGCCGGCCUGAGAGGGUGGACGGGCACAGUGGGACUGAGAUACGGCCCAGACUCCUACGGGAGGCAGCAGUGGGGAAUAUGAGACAAUGGGCGGAAGCCUGAUGCAGCGACGCCGCGUGGGGGAUGACGGCCUUCGGGUUGUAAACUCCUUUCGACCGCGAGGAAGCCACCUGGUUGGAAGGGUGGUGACGGUAGUGGUAGAAGAAGCACCGGCUAACUACGUG